CAGCAGCCGCGGGAAUACAGAGGAUGCAAGCGUUAUCCGGAAUGAUUGGGCGUAAAGCGUCUGUAGGUGGCUUUUCAAGUCCGCCGUCAAAUCCCAGGGCUCAACCCUGGACAGGCGGUGGAGACUACCAAGCUGGAGUACGGUAGGGGCAGAGGGAAUUUCCGGUGGAGCGGUGAAAUGCGUUGAGAUCGGAAAGAACACCAACGGCAAAAGCACUCUGCUGGGCCGACACUGACACUGAGAGACGAAAGCUAGGGGAGCAAAUGGGAUUAGAUACCCCCGUAGUCCCUGUCUCUUAUAA
Molecule: ribosomal RNA, 301 nt
Filed under: uncultured bacterium
Lineage: Bacteria
Description: partial 16S ribosomal RNA
Rfam family: Bacterial small subunit ribosomal RNA
Source: RNAcentral